GAUGAACGCUGGCGGCGUGCCUAAUACAUGCAAGUCGAGCGAACGGACGAGAAGCUUGCUUCUCUGAUGUUAGCGGCGGACGGGUGAGUAACACGUGGAUAACCUACCUAUAAGUCUGGGAUAACUUCGGGAAACCGGAGCUAAUACCGGAUAAUAUUUUGAACCGCAUGGUUCAAAAGUGAAAGACGGUCUUGCUGUCACUUAUAGAUGGAUCCGCGCUGCAUUAGCUAGUUGGUAAGGUAACGGCUUACCAAGGCAACGAUGCAUAGCCGACCUGAGAGGGUGAUCGGCCACACUGGAACUGAGACACGGUCCAGACUCCUACGGGAGGCAGCAGUAGGGAAUCUGCCGCAAUGGGCGAAAGCCUGACGGAGCAACGCCGCGUGAGUGAUGAAGGUCUUCGGAUCGUAAAACUCUGUUAUUAGGGAAGAACAUAUGUGUAAGUAACUGUGCACAUCUUGACGGUACCUAAGCAGAAAACCACGGCUAACUACGU
RNAcentral lists this ribosomal RNA (496 nucleotides) under uncultured bacterium. RNAcentral describes it as "partial 16S ribosomal RNA". It matches the Rfam family "Bacterial small subunit ribosomal RNA", at positions 28 to 506 of the family's 1533-position model. The record is from RNAcentral.